GUGGGGAAUCUUCCGCAAUGGACGAAAGUCUGACGGAGCAACGCCGCGUGAGUGAUGAAGGUCUUCGGAUUGUAAAGCUCUGUUAAUCGGGACGAAAGAGCCUAGUGUGAAUAAUGCUAGGAAGUGACGGUACCGGAAUAGAAAGCCACGGCUAACUACGUGCCAGCAGCCGCGGUAAUACGUAGGUGGCAAGCGUUGUCCGGAAUUAUUGGGCGUAAAGCGCGCGCAGGCGGAUCUGCCAGUCUGUCUUAAAAGUUCGGGGCUUAACCCCGUGAUGGGAUGGGAACUACAGAUCUAGAGUAUCGGAGAGGAAAGUGGAAUUCCUAGUGUAGCGGUGAAAUGCGUAGAUAUUAGGAAGAACACCAGUGGCGAAGGCGACUUUCUGGACGAUGUCUGACGCUGAGGCGCGAAAGCUAGGGGAGCGAACGGGAUUAGAAACCCGAGUAGUCC
RNAcentral lists this ribosomal RNA (450 nucleotides) under uncultured bacterium. RNAcentral's name for it is "partial 16S ribosomal RNA". It matches the Rfam family "Bacterial small subunit ribosomal RNA", at positions 354 to 796 of the family's 1533-position model. The record is from RNAcentral.